Non-coding RNA from Camellia sinensis, 650 nucleotides. NCBI's taxonomy places the organism in Eukaryota, Viridiplantae, Streptophyta, Magnoliopsida, Ericales, Theaceae. The record is from RefSeq and is a predicted model, not a curated record.
CCCUUCCAAAAUUUUGCCUAAAGAAAAAGAGGAGGAAAAACAGAGCAAAAACUACAACACGGCUGGAGAGAGAGAGAGAGCGAAGAGCAGUCCUUCAGAGUUACCUCCUUCGUAGCCCCGUUCGUCUUCGCUUCUCCCUCCGCUCGACGAAGACCCUCAAACGAAGCAAACGGAGCCGUCUCCCCUCUCCCUCCGGCCGGAGCUCUCUCACCUCUCCCUUCCACCGCCCAAUUUCAGGUUUCAAUUGCUGCCAAGACUCAGUAGUGCUUCAAGAGAGAAAACACAGGUACCCAAAUGAACACAAUGUUGGGGUUGAGUAAGGGGAGUCAAGAUUCACUGAGGGAGGCGAUGUGGGUUGGGCAUGACACUUUACCUUAUUAGAAGUAUCCAUGAGGUUGUAGAAAGUUGGGGUUGGGUGUUCUUAUUAGGUUGCGCAACUCACAACUUUUGCCUUGGCAUCCGAUUCCGGGUUUUGGAGAAUUUGUCGACGUAGAAGAUUUUGUGGAAGAGAUCGAGAAGCUGUGCCAGGCGUGGACUAACGUCGGAUUUUUCAUCUCAUUAUUGAAAAUUUAUUUUUUAAGAGCAACAUUGUCUAUAAUAUAUAAAUUUUGAUGCACUAUUAUUUACUUUUGGAUGUGUAACCUUAUCAA